UUCGGCGUUGAGCUGAUCGGUGGUUUCGAGCUGGAAGCUCGACAGUUCCAUCACGUACAGUUCGAUGUCGUCGCUGAGC
This 79-nucleotide transfer RNA is filed under the name Pseudomonas sp. 008. RNAcentral describes it as "tRNA-Ser". Lineage: Bacteria; Pseudomonadati; Pseudomonadota; Gammaproteobacteria; Pseudomonadales; Pseudomonadaceae. The record is from RNAcentral.